This 712-nucleotide ribosomal RNA is filed under the name uncultured Bacilli bacterium. RNAcentral's name for it is "bacterial SSU rRNA". It matches the Rfam family "Bacterial small subunit ribosomal RNA", at positions 39 to 718 of the family's 1533-position model. Lineage: Bacteria; Bacillati; Bacillota; Bacilli. The record is from RNAcentral.
GCGGCGUGCCUAAUACAUGCAAGUCGAGCGAGCGGAACUAACAGAUUUACUUCGGUAAUGACGUUAGGAAAGCGAGCGGCGGAUGGGUGAGUAACACGUGGGGAACCUGCCCCAUAGUCUGGGAUACCACUUGGAAACAGGUGCUAAUACCGGAUAAGAAAGCAGAUCGCAUGAUCAGCUUUUAAAAGGCGGCGUAAGCUGUCGCUAUGGGAUGGCCCCGUGGUGCAUUAGCUAGUUGGUAAGGUAAAGGCUUACCAAGGCGAUGAUGCAUAGCCGAGUUGAGAGACUGAUCGGCCACAUUGGGACUGAGACACGGCCCAAACUCCUACGGGAGGCAGCAGUAGGGAAUCUUCCACAAUGGACGCAAGUCUGAUGGAGCAACGCCGCGUGAGUGAAGAAGGUUUUCGGAUCGUAAAGCUCUGUUGUUGGUGAAGAAGGAUAGAGGUAGUAACUGGCCUUUAUUUGACGGUAAUCAACCAGAAAGUCACGGCUAACUACGUGCCAGCAGCCGCGGUAAUACGUAGGUGGCAAGCGUUGUCCGGAUUUAUUGGGCGUAAAGCGAGCGCAGGCGGAAGAAUAAGUCUGAUGUGAAAGCCCUCGGCUUAACCGAGGAACUGCAUCGGAAACUGUUUUUCUUGAGUGCAGAAGAGGAGAGUGGAACUCCAUGUGUAGCGGUGGAAUGCGUAGAUAUAUGGAAGAACACCAGUGGCGA